RNAcentral lists this long non-coding RNA (374 nucleotides) under Vitis vinifera (wine grape). Its description in RNAcentral is "long non-coding RNA (VVIN_LNC007394)". Lineage: Eukaryota; Viridiplantae; Streptophyta; Magnoliopsida; Vitales; Vitaceae. The record is from RNAcentral.
AGAUAUUUUGAGAGAAGGUAGAGCUUAGGGAAGGUGAGAGAAGGGAGAUUCCGGGAGCUGCAGAGAAGGAUAGUUUUAGCUUAGAGGAAGUGAGGGACACGAGAAAGAAAAAAACAGGGGAAUCAGAGGAGAAAAGGGUGAGAGUUUGAGGGUGAGUUUCUAGCUUAGAGGAGAGGCUACCGGAGGAGAGAACAGGGAGCAGCAAACUGUGAGAGGUAGUGGUGCUAUUGGCUGCCGUUUAGAGGAACUUGAGAGAGAGCGAGACUUGAGAGAGAAAGAACCAGAGAGUUAGAGUUUUCCAGAGAGAAUAGAGAGCUUGAAUGAGAAGAAGGUAAGGGUAUGACUGCCACUAAUCUUUUUGUUUUUCUUCGUUG